CUCGUAGGCGGUCCAUCGCGUCGGGAGUGAAAAGCUGGGGCUUAACCCCAGUCCUGCUUCCGAUACGGGUGGACUAGAGGUAGGCAGGGGAGAACGGAAUUCCUGGUGUAGCGGUGAGAUGCGCAGAUAUCAGGAGGAACACCGGUGGCGAAGGCGGUUCUCUGGGCCUUACCUGACGCUGAGGAGCGAAAGCAUGGGGAGCAAACA
This 207-nucleotide ribosomal RNA is filed under the name uncultured bacterium. RNAcentral's name for it is "partial 16S ribosomal RNA". It matches the Rfam family "Bacterial small subunit ribosomal RNA", at positions 568 to 774 of the family's 1533-position model. The record is from RNAcentral.